GGCAGCAGCUAAGAAUAUUCCACAAUGGACGAAAGUCUGAUGGAGCGACGCCGCGUGGACGAUGAAGGCCGUGAGGUUGUAAAGUCCUUUUCUGAAGGGAGAAUAACGGGGACAGGGAAUGGUCCUCAGAUGACGUGAAUUCAGGAAUAAGCCCCGGCUAACUACGUGCCAGCAGCCGCGGUAACACGUAGGGGGCGAGCGUUGUUCGGAAUCAUUGGGCGUAAAGGGCGCGCAGGCGGCCAUGUAAGUCUGGUGUAAAAUGGUCAUGCUUAACAUGAUCAUGCGCUGGAAACUGUGUGGCUUGAGUCAACGAGGGGAUGCCGGAAUUCCAGGUGUAGGGGUGAAAUCUGUAGAUAUCUGGAAGAACACCAAUGGCGAAGGCAGGCAUCUGGCGACUGACUGACGCUGAGGCGCGAAGGUGCGGGGAGCAAACAGGUUUAGAUACCCUGGUAGUCCGCACAGUAAACGAUGUGCACCAGGUGGCGGGCAGCAGUGCUCGGUACCGAAGCAAACGCAUUAAGUGCACCGCCUGGGGAGUAUGCUCGCAAGGGUGAAACUCAAAGGAAUUGACGG
Molecule: ribosomal RNA, 573 nt
Filed under: uncultured rumen bacterium
Lineage: Bacteria
Description: bacterial SSU rRNA
Rfam family: Bacterial small subunit ribosomal RNA
Source: RNAcentral